UACGGAGGAUCCAAGCGUUAUCCGGAUUUAUUGGGUUUAAAGGGUGCGUAGGCGGAUUGAUAAGUUAGAGGUGAAAUGUCCGAGCUCAACUCGGGAACUGCCUCUAAUACUGUUGAUCUAGAGAGUAGAUGCGGUAGGCGGAAUGUAUGGUGUAGCGGUGGAAUGCUUAGAGAUCAUACAGAACACCGAUUGCGAAGGCAGCUUACCAAUCUAUAUCUGACGUUGAGGCUCGAAAGCGUGGGGAGCAAACAGG
This 253-nucleotide ribosomal RNA is filed under the name uncultured bacterium. RNAcentral describes it as "partial 16S ribosomal RNA". It matches the Rfam family "Bacterial small subunit ribosomal RNA", at positions 524 to 776 of the family's 1533-position model. The record is from RNAcentral.